This 482-nucleotide unclassified non-coding RNA is filed under the name Pleurothyrium cinereum. Its description in RNAcentral is "psbA-trnH intergenic spacer region". The record is from RNAcentral. Lineage: Eukaryota; Viridiplantae; Streptophyta; Magnoliopsida; Laurales; Lauraceae.
GCUGCUGUCGAAGUUCCAUCUACAAACGGAUAAUACUUUGGUAUUAGUGUAUACGAGUCGUUGAAGGAUCAAUACCAAACUUCUUGUUCUAUUAAGAAGUUUGGUAUUGAUCCAUUCGGUUCAGUAGUGUUUUAUUCACAUAUCACAUAAUCGUUUUUCAUUUUCAUUUCUUUUAUUCAACUUAUGAAAACCGCUGGUUAUUUCAUGAUCGAAUAUCGUAGUUUCUUCUGUACCAACCUGCAAUUUAUAUACUCUUAUUCUUCAAAAGAAUUUUAUUUUUUGAAAAAAGAAAAGCAUUGCAUUUUUCUUUUUUUUUUUUUUAUGUCCAACAUUUUGUUUUAUGUACAAUAUCUGUAUUUCAGCAGGAAGGAGGGUGAAGUAAUAAAGACUAAAUAAAAAAAUAAUGAAUGGUGAAAAUGGAAUCCUUUUGAGAGAGGAGGGGCGGAUGUAGCCAAGUGGAUCAAGGCAGUGGAUUUGUGAAU